CGACUCUUUGCAAAGGUAUAUCCUCAGCUAAUUGAAGUAGAAGAAUUAUGAAAAUAUGUUUCCUAGGUUGUGGGAUUUCCAAGAGGUCCAGAGAGUCAGGACUGGGAGCCAUGCAGCCAGGAACCAUGCUCGUACCACACCGUGGGGUUGCUACAGUGAAGAGUCCACUAUGUGUCACACCACAGAUGACCACUGAUGCUGGGCAUGGGAUUCCAGAACCUCCACCACUGCCUGCUCCAAACUGCAUACGUCUACCUUCAACCUCAUGAAAGCUACGCUGCCUCUCCAGGCGGGAGGACUUGGGGAUCUGCAGAGAAGGGAGCCUUUGCAGGUGUAGUGCUGAAGACCCGUUUACCAGGUUUUUUAAUCUGUGGGCCUCCACUCAGUCAUCGAUGGGAGAAGAUUUCGGUUGGAGCUGCUUUGGCUUACAAAGGUAAUUGUAGCUGUUUGUGGAGAAAGGCUGACCUUAUAACCCCUCACCAAUUUAUCCAGAGACUAAGUACCGUCCUUUGUCGUAUAGCUGCCAUAUACCUUUUUAAUGUGCAUUAUUUCAUAUUUGUUUUUUACCAGGUGAUAUUUAGAGACAAGGAUAAAGUGACAUUGAAUGUAAAAGAAGAAAGUAUUGGUAAAGAAAUAUUCAAGGAGGUGUGUUCAAGUGGAAGGGGACGAGGAUAAACCUGUGGCUGAUUCAUGCCGAUGUUUGGUAGAAAGUAACACAGUAGUGUAAAGCAAUUACCCUUCAAUUAAAAAUAAAUAAAUUUACCAAGAGACA
Molecule: long non-coding RNA, 772 nt
Organism: Bos indicus x Bos taurus (hybrid cattle)
Lineage: Eukaryota; Metazoa; Chordata; Mammalia; Artiodactyla; Bovidae
Source: Ensembl